UCCGGCUUAUCACCGGCAGUCCCCCUAGAGUGCCCAACUUAAUGAUGGCAACUAAGGGCGAGGGUUGCGCUCGUUGCGGGACUUAACCCAACACCUCACGACACGAGCUGACGACAGCCAUGCAGCAUCUGUGUGGCACCCUCGAAGGUCACACGUUUCCGUGCGCUUGCAGCCACAUGUCAAGUCCAGGUAAGGUUCUUCGCGUUGCAUCGAAUUAAAGAACGUGCUCCGCUGCUUGUGCGGGCCCCCGUCAAUUCCUUUGAGUUUUUGCCUUGCGGCCGUACUCCCCAGGCGGGACACUUAUCGCGUUGGCUUCGGCACAGGGGGAUUCGACUCCCCCCACACCUAGUGUUCAUCGUUUACGGCAUGGACUAC
RNAcentral lists this unclassified non-coding RNA (375 nucleotides) under uncultured Rubrobacterales bacterium. Its description in RNAcentral is "contains 16S-23S intergenic spacer region". Lineage: Bacteria; Bacillati; Actinomycetota; Rubrobacteria; Rubrobacterales. The record is from RNAcentral.